Molecule: small nuclear RNA, 118 nt
Filed under: Tritrichomonas foetus
Lineage: Eukaryota; Parabasalia; Tritrichomonadida; Tritrichomonadidae
Description: U5 spliceosomal RNA
Rfam family: U5 spliceosomal RNA
About the family: U5 RNA is a component of both types of known spliceosome. The precise function of this molecule is unknown, though it is known that the 5' loop is required for splice site selection and p220 binding, and that both the 3' stem-loop and the Sm site are important for Sm protein binding and cap methylation.
Source: Rfam by way of RNAcentral
AAAGCCUGGCUUGGCUCAAUUGUUGUGGUUUCUUCCCUCGCCUUUUACUAGGGGAGACCGCGGGCUAAGUGAAUGGUUCGAGCCGAAAUUUUUUCGCACGUUGUUUGAUUGAGAUGUC